GUGCCUAACACAUGCAAGUCGAGCGAUGAAGUUUCUCGGAAUGGAUUAGCGGCGACGGGUGAGUAACACGUGGUAACCUGCCUCAUAGUGGGAAUAGCCUUUCGAAAGGAAGAUUAAUACCGCAUAAGAUUGUAGUUUCGCAUGAAACAGCAAUUAAAGGAGCAAUUCGCUAUGAGAUGGACCCGCGGCGCAUUAGCUAGUCGGUGAGGUAACGGCUCACCAAGGCCACGAUGUCUAGGGGUUCUGAGAGGAAGGUCCCCCACACUGGAACUGAGACACGGCCCAGACUCCUACGGGAGGCAGCAGUGGGGAAUAUUGCACAAUGGGCGAAAGCCUGAUGCAGCAACGCCGCGUGAGGGAAGACGGCCUUCGGGUUGUAAACCUCUGUCCUCAGUGACGAAGAAAGUGACGGUAGCUGAGGAGGAAGCCACGGCUAACUACGUG
This 444-nucleotide ribosomal RNA is filed under the name uncultured bacterium. RNAcentral describes it as "bacterial SSU rRNA". It matches the Rfam family "Bacterial small subunit ribosomal RNA", at positions 44 to 507 of the family's 1533-position model. The record is from RNAcentral.